AAAGAAAAACCUUCACCCCUUUCCACGGUCGCCCGUACCGGAAACCGACACAGGUGGGUGAGUGUAAAUGCACUAAGGUGAGUGAGUGAAAUCUCGUCAAGGAACUCGGCAAUCUAGCCCCGUAACUUCGGAAGAAGGGGUGCCUCGCAAGAGGUCGCAGUGAAUGGGGUCAACCGACUGUUAAACAAAAACACAGCACUCUGCUAAGUUUAACGACGAUGUAUAGGGUGUGACACGUGACCAAUGCGGAAAGAUUACGGUAAGAGGUUAGCCGCAAGGCGAGGCUUUGAGCCCAAGUCCCCGUGAAUGUCGGCCGUAACUAUAACGGUCCUAAGGUAGCGAAAUUCCUUGUCGGGUAAGUUCCGACCUGCACGAAUCGUGUAACGAGUUGACCGCUGUCUCGACGAGAAGCUCAGCGAAGUUGUAGUGGCGGUGAAGAUGCCGCCUACCCGCAGUAGGACGGAAAGACCCUAUGCACCUUUACUGUACGCUGUGACUGGUUUCUUGAUUUUAAUGCUUAGCGUAAGUGGGAGACUUUGAAGACAUUCUUUCGGGGAUGUCAGAGUCGCCAAUGAAACACCACCCUUUGACAUUAGGAAAUCUAACCCAUCUGGGGACACUCAUAGCCGUCAGUUUUACUGGGGCGGUAUCCUCCUAAAGAGUAACGGAGGAGCACGAUGGUUGGCUCAGUCUGGUUGGCAAUCAGACGUCGAAUGCAUGGGCACAAGCCAGCUUAACUGUGAGACCCACAAGUCGAGCAGAUACGAAAGUAGGUCCAAGUGAUCCGGUGGUUGAAUGUGGAAUUGCCAUCGCUCAACGGACAAAAGGUACGCUAGGGAUAACAGGCUGAUCGAGCCCAAGAGCUCAUAUCGACGGCUCGGUUUGGCACCUCGAUGUCGGCUCAUCACAUCCUGGGGCUGGAGAAGGUCCCAAGGGUCCGGCUGUUCGCCGGUUAAAGUGGUACGCGAGCUGGGUUCAGAACGUCGCGAGACAGUUCGGUCCUUAUCCACUGUGGGCGUUAGAAAAUUGAGGAGUUCAAACCUUAGUACGAGAGGACCGGGUUUGACGAACCUCUGGUGUUCCAGUUGUCUUGUCAAAGGCACAGCUGGGUAGCUAUGUUCGGAAGGGAUAAGCGCUGAAAGCAUCUAAGCGCCAAGCCCAUUCCAAGAUGAGUUUUCUUUGAGAACCGUGGAAGACCACCACGUUGAUAGGCUGGAUGUGUAAGUGCAGUAAUGUGCUAAGCUUACCAGUACUAACGUCC
RNAcentral lists this ribosomal RNA (1261 nucleotides) under metagenome. RNAcentral describes it as "bacterial LSU rRNA". It matches the Rfam family "Bacterial large subunit ribosomal RNA", at positions 1609 to 2910 of the family's 2925-position model. The record is from RNAcentral.